AAGGGUCUUCAUAGUCUUCCCAGAGGUUAUCAUAGACAGAAAAGCAAGGAAUCUGAUAAUGCACACAUAAUGAUGUCACAAGCCCUUAUAGUGGAGGUUUUAAGAAGUUUGAAGGACACGUUCCUGGCCAUUUCAGCAUGAUCAAGCAGGGAUUUUGUUCUCGAGGGCAGCACGAAGACAGUGGCUUUCAGCUUGCAUCUGUUAAGGCUGCUCAACAUAGACUAGAUCAUCAAUAGAUUGGAAGGCCGGAAUAUUGGAUGGUUGGAAUAGUCAACCGGCAAAAUGUAUGACAGCGGAGCUAUUAAGGUGCUAUUGUCUGCUUGUGAUACUUAUAACUUUGAAGUGCUGUAGCGGCAAGUUCAAGUUCACUCUUUCUGUAAAUUGGGGAGAUCUAACGUGCUAUUUCUAUUUUGAGUGACUAACAAAUUGUUACUUUAUUUGUGGUUGAAUAAUAAUUGAUUAUUAUUAUCUGGAUGAUGCAGGGUUGUCCAUCAUGGAGACAACCAUUUGAUUCAUUAACUGUUCUAGAGGAAGAUGCUGUGGAGAAAUUGAUGAUACGGCGUA
Molecule: non-coding RNA, 564 nt
Organism: Malus domestica (apple)
Lineage: Eukaryota; Viridiplantae; Streptophyta; Magnoliopsida; Rosales; Rosaceae
Source: RefSeq, a predicted model, not a curated record